UGUCCGGUCCCCCCUGCCCCGACGCAGGCUGCUUGUCAGGGGUCUCCUGCUCCUUAGCAUCAAAGCGCAGGCCUUGCCCGGCCCCAGGGCCCACCGCCACCUGGACUCAGCCCAGCAGGGGACUGUUAAGUCUCCCUUCUCAGGGAGGGUCAGCCUGAGGCAUCGGGCCCAGAAGAGUCCCCUGACCUCCCAGCCCUUCCUCAUCUGGGUGUGACGGCGUUUACUGACGCAUCCUCCGUGUACCAGCCUCGUCCUGAGUGGACAAGAAAUUUGGAGAUAAUCUCAGAGACCAGUUCGGGGGAAGAGGGCGCAUGCCACCACAAUUACGAUUCCGACGUAAAUGACACAGUCUCUACUGCUGGAGCCGCUCCGAGUGACAACGGGCGAACGCGGCUGCGGGGCCGGUCCUGUGGGGCCAUCACGGAGGACACGGGGGAGCCUUCUGAAGUGGCGGGAGUCCCGAGGGCAACACCCCGGGGGAUGGGACAAGAGUGUGGCACCCGCGUCGCGGCUGGGCUCUGGGGCCCGGGGCCCGGUCAGCCCUUCGUCCACACCAGCAGCCGUGGUGCCAGCUUGCCCCAGGCGUCAGCCUGUCCCCGUGCCUCCUGGGUGUCCCCCAGCUGAAACGGCAGCGGGCGGAGAGGCCAGGCAGCUCCUCAGAAGGGUCGCAGAGCCUGGAUCUUACUCGUCGCGUGGCCUGGCGGCAGGAACGUGCCGACGCCUAGAUGGGUUCAGACCAAACACAGAGGAAGUUCCUGAGGACAGGAAAAGGCCGAUGUCGCCAGGAGCCCAUGAGACGCCCGGACGCUGGCGUGACGGUCGAGGCCCCGCCAAGAAUAAGCACGGGUGCACCGCGCCCACAGGGUUCAGCGAGCCCUCUUUGAAGCCCACCCCGCGGCGGGGGCUGCCUGGAGCCGUAGUGACAGAGCCCCCGCAGGCUGUUGUUUGAUGAAGGUUGGAAGGGGAGUUUCUGCCUCCCCUGGGGCCGCGUCUCUCUCCCAGCAGCAGGGUCUCCCAGCAGUGGGGUCCCAGCGAUGGGGUCUCCCUCCCUGCAGUGGGGUCCCAGCGGCGAGGUCUCCCUCCCAGUAGCCGGGCUCAGACGGGAAACUCAGCGUGGACAGAGCUAUGUGCUGAGCCUCCCGGGACUGGCAUGCCGGCCCGCUCUUGGCUUCAGAAAAUUCAGUCCUGGCUCUGGGUGAGGACAGAGUGUCGUGGAACAAAGUGGCAGUGGGCAGCCCGGCAAGGGGGCUGCUGUUGUCCAGGAAGAGGCACUGCAGGCCGGCACUAGGUGUUGGAAGUGAGACGUGAGGACAGACUUGAGCUACGAGGCACAGGCAGGGUUUGCUCCACUCUGUGAGGAAGAGGUUGGUGGGGGGGGAUCCCCUGGGUUUCCGGAGGAGAGACUCCCCGUGAGGCCCGUCUCUCGGCUGUGACAGCCUCACCUCCCGGGUGCUGAGGCUGUGGCGGCUUCACACAGUGGGAGAUCCCUGACAGCACAUCUCUGGGGGCUAUCAGGGGUGUGUGUGUGGAUCUGGGAGUCAGCCAGGUAUAGAUGACCACUGAGGCCAAAACGUAGGGGUGGGCUUUAGAGGAUACGAGAAGGGGUCCGUGCAGGUGGGGAGUGUGCAGAGCGACCGGAGAGCAUCAGCUGGAGCUCUUCAGGGCCCUGCCCUCUCUGGGCAGGGGCAGGCUCACAGUGGUGUUCCGGAUCUGAGAGGGGGCGGGGGCGGCUGCAGGGCUAAGGUUCCGAGAUAGGAAGAGGCCAUGGAAAAAGGUUUCCCCCAGGUAGCGGGAUUCGCUUACCUAAGCCAGUCGGUCCUGAAGACAGAAUGCUCCCACAGCCCUGACCUGUGACCGAGGGCACCUCUCCCUGUCCCACGGGGCCCGGCCUCGAGUGUCCUGGGAGAAUGGCU
Molecule: long non-coding RNA, 1913 nt
Organism: Lynx canadensis (Canada lynx)
Lineage: Eukaryota; Metazoa; Chordata; Mammalia; Carnivora; Felidae
Exons: 2
Source: RefSeq, a predicted model, not a curated record